AUUCUCCUUAUUGAUUUGCUUGUAAUAUACUUGUUGUUGGAGCCUUGGGCGGACAGGGGAGGUACUGUCCGUUCGGCGUCUGUCGUGUGCUCGAAUCCGACCAAAUUGGCGGAGCUCGGGGCGGGACAGAUAUGGUGGUAUCAGAGCGAUGUGAAAGCAAAAGUCUAGGAUGGACUUAGGGACCUUAGGAUUGGAGACCUUAGGAAUUAGGACACGUAUGACGUGGACUUGGAUAGGCGAAGGCUAAUUGAUUGGGUUAUGAGUAGAACUUCUCU
This 275-nucleotide long non-coding RNA is filed under the name Ananas comosus (pineapple). RNAcentral's name for it is "long non-coding RNA (ACOM_LNC035247)". The record is from RNAcentral. Lineage: Eukaryota; Viridiplantae; Streptophyta; Magnoliopsida; Poales; Bromeliaceae.